Molecule: ribosomal RNA, 234 nt
Filed under: uncultured bacterium
Lineage: Bacteria
Description: partial 16S ribosomal RNA
Rfam family: Bacterial small subunit ribosomal RNA
Source: RNAcentral
CGGGUGAUCUGCCCUGCACUUUGGGAUAAGCCUGGGAAACUGGGUCUAAUACCGGAUAUGACUCCUCAUCGCAUGGGUGGGGGGCGGAAAGCUUUAUUGUGGUUUUGGAUGGACUCGCGGCCUAUCAGCUUGUUGGUGAGGUAAUGGCUCACCAAGGCGACGACGGGUAGCCGGCCUGAGAGGGUGACCGGCCACACUGGGACUGAGACACGGCCCAGACUCCUACGGGAGGNA